Molecule: long non-coding RNA, 211 nt
Filed under: Gossypium barbadense (sea-island cotton)
Lineage: Eukaryota; Viridiplantae; Streptophyta; Magnoliopsida; Malvales; Malvaceae
Description: long non-coding RNA (GBAR_LNC005346)
Source: RNAcentral
UAAAAUGUAUUAAUAAAUUUGAUUAAGUAAAUGUUUAAGUAAGUGAGUAAGUGAAGAAGUUUAAAAUAUGUCUAUGACAAUUAAUGAAGUUGCAUUAAGUAGUAUCAUGCUAAGUAGUAAGAUAAUUCUUAUGAAUGUUGUUAUUUAUUUGUAUGCAACUUACUAAGCUUAAUGCUUACCCCCUUUAUUUUCCUUCUUUUUAUAGUUUUUU